This 237-nucleotide long non-coding RNA is filed under the name Carica papaya (papaya). RNAcentral's name for it is "long non-coding RNA (CPAP_LNC014165)". Lineage: Eukaryota; Viridiplantae; Streptophyta; Magnoliopsida; Brassicales; Caricaceae. The record is from RNAcentral.
AAGGGAAAGAAAAAGUCAAGAAUCUCGAGAAAGAAAUAAAUCGGGCCCAGUUAAGGUCAGGGAUAGGGAAAAAAGGAAAAAGAGUCUUUAUAUGAGGGGAUGACAGGUGAGCCAAGCAGUUUACAAAAGAAAAAGCCUCAUAGUAUUGCGAUAUAAGGAUGUCUAUUUGAACCUGUUUGACUGACCUAGUCCUACCUUGUGGUAUUGUUUCCCUCUUACCCGAGUUUGAGGAUUUCC